Molecule: long non-coding RNA, 4472 nt
Organism: Cyanistes caeruleus (blue tit)
Lineage: Eukaryota; Metazoa; Chordata; Aves; Passeriformes; Paridae
Source: RefSeq, a predicted model, not a curated record
GCGGUGUGCCUAUAAAUUACAAAACCACGGGAUAAAUCAGGCUGCUCGCUGUGGUUUAAAAACAACGUUGACUCCUGCUGCCGCCUGAGCACCCCGUCUAGGGCUGCUAUGAAAGAAUUUGGUACCCAGGGAUCUCCCAGGUGACCAGCGACACCUGCAUGAGAGGGCAGAAGGAGCUGUCCAGGGAGGUGUUUGAGGAAAGACUGGAAGUGGCACUCAGUGACAUGGUCUGAGUGGCAAGGUGCUGUUCAUCAUGGGCUGGACGUGAUGACCUCAGAGCUCAUUUCCAACCUAACUGAUUCCAUCAUUCUGCGAGUUUGCUCAUUUCGGGACUCAGAGUGCAAUUCCUUAGGUGGAGUCAGCCCAACUUUUGAGUUUGCAUUUUCAUAUUCCUUGGCUGAUCUCAGUGUGGCUCCUGAAGUUUUGCUGCCAGUGAGAAGCACUCUCAGGCUGAGCAUUAAUUCUUCAGGAAAAGCAGGAAUCCUUUUGCAAAUUUUCACUGCUGGGUGACAGCCCUUCAAAGUGAAAAAAUAAUAUAUUCCAGUCACAGGGGUGUAUAUAACGAAAGUAAUUUAGUCACAAACUAAUCAUAGUUGGGAGCUCCUGCUUUUCCCACAUGAUGCCUUGGCUGACACAAAUUAUCUCUUUCUGGUUUCAUUAUCUCUUUCUGGCUUUUCCUUCCCUGCCCGUUACUAGAAUUUGCUACUUUUCCACUGGAAAAAUAAAAAAGCUGGGUAAUAAGAGUGAUAGCAGCUGGGAAAAAAUUCUACAGCACCUGCUUGAACAUAAAAUUGUCAGCACAGUAGGAUUAUAACCUAGGGUAGUUUUACACUGCAGCUGGCACUGGUGUGAAAGGAUCUGUGUUCACAGGCAGUACAAGAGACAAAGUUUGGGAGGUUUUAUUGUUGGACAAACUGAGCCCUCUGUAGGUGUUUAGCGCUGGUUUUGAUUCUGUCUGCUUCCAGAAUUUAGUUUGGUGCUUGGUUUUAAAUCACAGUUUUCAUUUUGUUACAAAAAAAAGUAUCAUCCCCACCCCCUGAUAUUUUUCUUGCAGUUGGGCAGCACUUUUCGCUCCUGGAAGAGGUAUGGGUGUGAUGUGUUCCAUUUCACCUCCCAAAUCAAAAUGAUCUAUUUAAAAUCCAAACUAUUUGUAAGGAGGCCUUCCUCUCCCUUUAUUAGUCUCAAGAUUCAAAUUUCUGUUGUUGAAAACACUGCAUUUUAGCUUCCCAGUCUACUACAUGAGAUUAAACUAAAUGGUACUUAUUUAGCAAACAAGGUUAGCUAAUACUAUAAAAAUUAAAUGGAAACAAAUAUUGUAGUAGAGGCAGCUGGCCAGUUUAAUCUGCUUAUUGUAACUACACACUGAUAAAAGUAAAUGUUGAUCUUGCCAAUUCUAUGCUUAUUUUUCAAAAAUAGCAUUUCAAAAACAGCAUUCAUUUUCAAAAAGGUGGCAUUUCUUAUGCACAUAAAAAUUAUAAUAGUUGAAUCUAUUAAUAUAUCAGUAUUUAAAAAAAUAUAAACUUGUGUUGGUUUCAACAGCAAGACUAGCUUCCAUAAAGAAACAAGUAAUCAUUGCUGCUGCCAGAUUUCCCUGACAUUUUCUUAUAUCUGUGAUUUCUUUCUGCUGCUUGUGUGGUUUAAUUCUUCCUGCUGGAUUAGUCUCAAAAAGGAAGUGAGUAAAUGAUGGGUCUUCAAGUUGUGCCUGGGCUGAUGGUAGGCCUAUGAAACUGAAUAUCAGCAUUGUUCCUCUUUACUCAGGGCAGCUCUGGCUGGAUGCAGGGCACACAUGGGAUGAAGCCUCUGUGUCCAGAAGAGCCUGAGAGUACCACGGUUAAACCCAUCAGUGAUCAGAGAGUCACGAAGAUUGAGAACCAGGAGUGUUUUCUCUCCCUCAGAAACCCAAAGAAACAAACAAGAAACCAGGAAUGUGGUGUCUACCAGUGUGACUCAGCCCUGCCUCUCACACACCUCUGAAAAACAUCACAAGUACUUUCCACAUAGCUUCAAAAUUCCACAGCAGGUACAAUUUAUGUAUUUUAAUUUACUAAUUUUGCAGUCAGCAUAAAUUGUGUAUGUGGGACAUGCACACAAUUUAACAGACCUGACAGACUACACCUCUUGAACUCACCUCUUCAAAAUGUAGAAAACAUUUCAAUAACUGAGACAUUUUUAAACAAAAGCCUUCCAACGUGCACCGUUUAAUAGCAAAGGUUUUCUCUGGAUGCUGAUUUAAGUAAAAUUCCAGAAUCUGAAAAGUUUUUGGGAAAUAUGCAUAGAUCUUCUAAUUUCCAGUAAAUUAGUCAUUUUUGCUGUUGCCAACUUUGUAUUGCUUAGAUUUUACAUAUAUAUAAUAAUUUGAAUUUAUACUAUAUUUGAUUUUAAAGUGAACAAGAAUCAUAGUGAAUACAUUCUGCAUGUAUGUCCAUAGUCUGAGUCUCAGUGAGUCAGAUACUAUUCUCCUAAAGAAGAACUUAAAGAAAUAAUUUUAAAAUAUUAUACUUUAUAUUAUCUAACCCGAGUACUUAUGAGAAAAUAUUGUUUGUUUCCACCUGCGGAAUGUCUGCUAAAAAAGAGAAUUUGCUUCUGUCUGGGCUUUCAAGAAACCAAGAAAAACAACAAGAAAUGAAUAGAAAUGUUUUUUUUUCUGUAACAGCCAUGGCAGGAGGAGAGAGCACAGGGGUGUCUGCAGCUGUUUAGAAAGAGAGCAAAAUUUGGACACUCCUCACAUGAGCAGAUGGGGUAAUAGUAAUGCUCCUCCCUGGUUUUUUGGCUUCAAUGAUAUGAAAAUGAUAACUGUGACUGCUGCAUGGUCCCUGUGCAAAUUCUAAUUGCUGCUCUGUAUAGCAAUAACUUAAGUAUGACUACACUGCACUUUAUAGGUUCCCUCAUGCAGAACUUGAAGCCUUUCCCAAAAAAAUACUUUAAAAAUGUUAAUUUAGCACUAUUACCAGGAUUCAAACAGAGCUAUCAGUAUUUUUUGAGCUAAAUGAGUAUAUGAAAUGAAAAUAAGCAAAUUACAUUACUGCAUUUUUUUUUUUUUUAACUGCUGUCUCAGGUAGAAUGGAAAAUCUGUUUUUCAUUUCUGCUCAAUCUUUCACACUGAAAACUUCAUUUGAAAACUAUGUUUAGUGUUCUGCGGGACCUCUUUCUCCAGGAGAACCCAAAACAGGAUGAAUAAACACGUCUGGGACGUGGACACACAGCAUGUGCUUGUGACAGGCUGGAAAAGCAAGGAGUGCAGGGGCAGGGAAAGCAGAGCAGGAGGAACAGAAGCAAAGAGAACCACCACGAGAACUGCACUGCGCUGGUCUUCGUCAUCUAAAACAUUUAAACCACCACUGUCCAGCUUGCCUUGCUGAGGCAGAUGCUGAGCCAUGCAGUGUUUGAAAGGAUAAACACAAGGGGUGGUGCUUGGUUUUGGCUGAGAACAGCCCAGGGAGUUGCCUACCCGCACUGCAGAGCUGCCCACAGGGGAAAAGCAGCGAUACGGCUGUUUGCUGUGGUUGAAAUCGCUCCCCACAGCGAUUGCAAAACCACAAAAGAGAGAGAGAGAGAGAGAGAAACUGUGGAAGGUAAAGGAGAAGCAGGAAUUCAUAAUUGCACAGUUCCACAUGAAGGUCAGGUUAGGCUUACUUUAAAAAAGACCAUGCAAAACUGGUAAAGUUGCAUUUCUGCAGAACGGACUACAAACCAGAUUGUAAAUACAGAAUCUCCUGGCUAAAGAACCCAGUUCUCAGCACAGAUGGCUUAUGCUUGUACAGAAGUGCUAGUUUUUGGUAGAAAAGAUUUUGCCAUGAAGUUUGAGGUAUUAACCCUACUAGUACAUGAGAGUGCAUUGCUGUGGCUGGUCCUGUGACAGGACAAUAAUUCACAUUGUAAGUGCAUGGUUGGAGAAUGCCUCAAUUAUUGCCAUCUUCUGAGACUUUGUAAUUAAUUUUAUGAAACUGUCAGCUUUGUUUUCAAAGGCUAAUCAUAUGAACUUGUCAGAUUAAUCACAACUCUUAGUUCACAGGUCCUUGUCCCCUUAGAGGCAGUGGAGAAAAGAAAACCUGUUGUGUGAGUCAGUGCAAAAUUAAACAUCUUAAAGAAAAUUAAACACUCGCCCUAAGUCUAUUCUGGCAUGUGACAGGUAACAGCAGGCAUGGUGAGUUUCCCAGGUUCUCUGAGUUAAAGUGAGUGCUUGUGAAGCUGACGUGCUCCACAUCUCUGGACAAGUAUAAUACAGAAUUUCAGAAAACCAGAUUUUAGCAGCCUGCUUGUCUUUCACAUAUUCUGCUUUCUUGCCAGUCAAAGAGACUCUCCUCUGUUUUUACAGAUAUCUGGAGAGUUUGGGGCUCUGGAGGGUUUUAACUUUCAGAGCUGCUCCUCUGAAAAAUAGUUUAGUGCUCUUUCUGGAGUGGAAAUGUCUCGUUUUCACUCACCCAUAUCUGGAAGAUUGUCGUUAUCAACUAUUAAAUAAUUAUUAAGCACAA